RNAcentral lists this long non-coding RNA (1527 nucleotides) under Musa acuminata (dwarf banana). Its description in RNAcentral is "long non-coding RNA (MACU_LNC001105)". Lineage: Eukaryota; Viridiplantae; Streptophyta; Magnoliopsida; Zingiberales; Musaceae. The record is from RNAcentral.
CCUCCUCCUCCUCCUGUCGGCGCCUUGUUCGGGCUCCAGCUCCAGCUCCUUCGUCCCCUCCACCACCUUCUCCUCCAACCUCCGGUUCGCUUUCAGUGAGAUCCAGAAGCUCACGUCGCUGAUCUCCGGCUCGUCCGGCGUCCUGGGCGGCAACCUCCGCCUCUCCUCGGCCAUCCAUGACUGCCUAGACCUCCUCGACUUCUCCGCUGACGAGCUCACCUGGACCCUCUCCGUCGUCAAUGACCAGCGCGUGAAGACCCCUGCCACCGGGAACCACCGUUACGACAUCCGCUCCUGGCUCAGCGCCGCUGUCGGCAACCAGGACACCUGCAAGGAAGGCCUCGACAGCGCCGGCGGCCCCCUCGGAGGCCUCGCUGCCGGCGGGCUCAAGAUCGUCAGCUCACUCAUUGCCAACAGCCUCCACGAGGUUGCCGCAUCGUCGGGCGGCGGGGGUGGGGGUCGGAGGCUCCUGGGGUUCCCGGAAUGGGUGUCGGCCGGGGACAGGAGGCUUCUGCAGACGCCGGCACCGGUGGAGCCCGACGCGGUGGUGGCGCAAGACGGGAGCGGGGACUACACGUCGAUAGGGGCCGCGGUGGAGGCGGCGCCGAGUGAGAGCGAGAGCAGGUACGUGAUCUACGUGAAGAAGGGGGUGUACAUGGAGAACGUGGAGGUCAAUAAGAAGAAGUGGAACCUGAUGCUCGUCGGAGACGGCAUCGACCAAACCAUCAUCUCCGGCAGCCGGAGCGUCGCCGCUGGCUGGACUACCUUUCGCAGCGCCACCGUCGGUGAGCUAAAUCCAUCUCUGGUUCUACGUAUCUUUUCCUGAGGUCAACAAGGACCCCAGCUAAAAACGUCGCCCGGUUUGCACCGACUCACGACCUGUCGACUCACCGUGUACGUGCAUGCAUGCAGCCGCGACCGGAAGGGGUUUCAUCGCCCGGGACCUGACGAUCGAGAACACGGCGGGGCCGCAGGGCAACCAGGCGGUCGCCUUCCGCUCCGGCUCCGACCUCUCAGUCUUCUACCGCUGUGGCUUCUCCGGCUACCAGGACACGCUGUACCCGCACUCCCUCCGACAAUUCUACCGCGAGUGCCGCAUCGCCGGCACCGUCGACUUCAUCUUCGGCGACGCUGCCGUCGUCUUCCAGAGCUGCGACGUCCUCUCCCGACUCCCCAGCCCCGGUCAGAUCAACACCAUCACCGCGCAGGGCCGCCGAGACCCCGACGAGAGCACGGGCUUCUCCUUCCAGUUCUGCAACGUCUCGGCCGACGCGGACCUGAUCGGCAACACCGACCGAACGGCCACGUACCUCGGCCGGCCAUGGAGGCAGUACUCCCGGACCGUCUUCAUGCAGUCUUUUCUGGACACGUUGAUCAGGCCAGAGGGGUGGGUGGAGUGGAACGGCAACACGGUCGGGCUGGACACACUGUACUACGCCGAGUACAUGAACGACGGGCCAGGCUCAGGGUUGGAGGGACGAGUCAACUGGCCGGGUUACCACGCUAUCAGUGACCCAGCGGAGGCCG